UACGUAGGGUGCAAGCGUUAAUCGGAAUUACUGGGCGUAAAGCGCGCGUAGGCGGCUCGGAAAGUCGGGCGUGAAAUGCCGGGGCUCAACCCCGGGACUGCGUCCGAUACUUCCGAGCUGGAGGUAGGUAGGGGAGAUCGGAAUUCCUGGUGUAGCGGUGAAAUGCGCAGAUAUCAGGAGGAACACCGGUGGCGAAGGCGGAUCUCUGGGCCUUACCUGACGCUGAGGCGCGAAAGCUAGGGGAGCGAACAGG
This 253-nucleotide ribosomal RNA is filed under the name uncultured bacterium. RNAcentral's name for it is "partial 16S ribosomal RNA". It matches the Rfam family "Bacterial small subunit ribosomal RNA", at positions 524 to 776 of the family's 1533-position model. The record is from RNAcentral.